This 1931-nucleotide unclassified non-coding RNA is filed under the name Penaeus japonicus. Its description in RNAcentral is "uncharacterized LOC122266110, transcript variant X3". The record is from RNAcentral. Lineage: Eukaryota; Metazoa; Arthropoda; Malacostraca; Decapoda; Penaeidae.
AUUAUAGAAGAGGUUUGGAAUACACGUGAGUGCGAGACAGGAAGGAACUUUUUGGCGGGAAAACACAAAUUUGCAAAGCUUUUGUCUUCGUGAAGUCCUCAUAAAAAGGGACACCCCGGGUAUCUCAAACCAUCGACCCCUUUUAUGGAAGCCUUGACCCACCAUCGUGAAUACACGAAUAAUUACAGGACAAGUAAAAAAGCCAUAUAUGAGUAUUGGAAUAUAAGAUGUUUCCCUAGUGUUUUGACGUAAUGAAGCCAUGACCAGUCCCAAUCCCACCUCACUCGUUGCAAGGACUUCGAUGGCGUCGGCAGAAUUUGACUCAGGCGGCAGUCGUGACUUCGAUGUGGACCGAGAAGCAUUGUUUAUCGGCGACUCAGAGAAGAUGAAGACUUUUUCUGUAUCGUCAGACGGAUGUCGUAGGAAAGAAGUUACGACUUCUACAGUGUCAGAGUCCAGGGAGGAGAAGGGGCGUGGCCCCAAGCCUUGGCCAGACGUGUCAGGACAAGAAUUCGCAAUGUGCGAUGCAGUGCGCGCCAAGAUGGGAGACGAGCAAAGCGCCAGGCUAUCCGACAUGCUCAAAGGAGAACUAGGACAGAAGUUGUUUAAAGGAAACAACGGGACUCCCCCAGCCCUAUCUGGGGUGAUCAGAAGUUACGAGGAGAAGAUUGCAAAGCUCCAGUUCGAAAUAGAUGCGAUAAAGUUGAAAAGCGAAAGACUUCACCGCCUGAGUCUGGCAAAGUGGCGUAUUUUCGCGGCUGAGAAAAUGCGACGAGCGAAAGGCCUCACUUCGCGUGCGAGGCCAGGAAGGCAGGCAAAAAAACGACAACCUCGAAGCUGCCCUAUGCCAGGCUGUAAGGGAAAGGCGGCAGACGUGAACCGCCAUCUUGCUCAAGUCCACAAAAUCACCAGGCCCGAAGAAAGGCGGGAAGUGAUGCAGAUUUCACAAUCGCUGAAGCAUCUUUUACACGAAGAAAUAUGAUCCAGUUGUCACAACAGAGAGCGCGAGUGUAUGGUAUAAACAGCGCAAUGACUCUCAACUAGUCAAAAGAACCCACCAAGUGACCCUUUACGAAAAUGCGGCGGAGAAAACUGCAGAAACGAAACCAGCUGAGCAUCACCAACGUUACCACAGGGAGAGGAUGACAGCAAUGACCAUAAUGACAACUAUUGAUCACUUAAGAAUGACGUCAGUCCGGCACAAGGGCAGACCAAUAUGAAAAUGGGGAGACUUAGGGACAGAAAAAAUGAAAAUCCCAUUAUGUUUACCGAAAAAGCACCGAAAAUCGCUUACAAGCUGAUUUACUUUACUACGGAGAAUAUCAAUUCAAAGUACAUGCAGCUUAGAUCCUUAGAAUUUAUGUAAUUACUGUAUUCUUCAAUCUUGCUAGAUAGCGAAUUGCUCUCUUUGUCUUGUUUAGUUUUGUUUACCUUAGCAGUUUUCCAGAGAAGUAAAUAGUGGACUUCCCAAGGAUUCAUUAUUUUACGGCUAUACUUAUGUUUUGCUACUUGAAAUUGUAUUAUUUUGGAUAAAUAACAAUGCUGACUAUUUUAUCAUUUUGUGGAGAAAGGUUUCUUUUUUUAAUGUUCUUUGAAAAUAAUAGGAGAUUUUCCUCUCUAUAAAGGCAUUGUUUGUAGAAUGUGUGUCUUUUCUAGAGCCAUUUUAUGUUCUGGUGAUACUUUGUGGGGUUUUGUUGUAAGUAAUAGUAAUGAUUGUAUAUUGCAUAGAAAGAGUUCUUAUUUUCUCAUUUUUUAGAAGAAAAAAGUGUGUUUUAUACACAGAAACUUUAUUGUUUAAAGGGUUUAUUUCUUUUGUAAAAGUAUACCAAGCUUUGCUAAUAUAAACUGUGCUUUUUCCUUUAAACAAAUGAUAAAGAUUAUUAUAUAUUGCAUGUUCUACACCGAAAGCAUAAAAGCGAUUGUGUUGAAAA